GGGAAUGUGGCUUAGUGGUAGAGUGCUUGCCUAGCAUGCAUGAAGCCUGGGUUCAAUUCCUCAGCACCA
RNAcentral lists this transfer RNA (69 nucleotides) under Dipodomys ordii (Ord's kangaroo rat). It matches the Rfam family "tRNA". Rfam says of the family: Transfer RNA (tRNA) molecules are approximately 80 nucleotides in length. Their secondary structure includes four short double-helical elements and three loops (D, anti-codon, and T loops). The record is from Rfam by way of RNAcentral. Lineage: Eukaryota; Metazoa; Chordata; Mammalia; Rodentia; Heteromyidae.